GACGAACGCUGGCGGCGUGCUUAACACAUGCAAGUCGAACGAUGAAGCUGGAGCUUGCUCUGGCGGAUUAGUGGCGAACGGGUGAGUAACACGUGAGAAAUCUGCCCUUGACUCUGGGAUAACUGCGGGAAACUGUAGCUAAUACCGGAUACUUUCCCUGGUGGGCAUCCACUGGGGAAGAAAGAAUUUCGGUCAAGGAUGAUCUCGCGGCCUAUCAGCUUGUUGGUGAGGUAAUGGCUCACCAAGGCGACGACGGGUAGCCGGCCUGAGAGGGUGACCGGCCACACUGGGACUGAGACACGGCCCAGACUCCUACGGGAGGCAGCAGUGGGGAAUAUUGCACAAUGGGCGAAAGCCUGAUGCAGCAACGCCGCGUGAGGGAUGAAGGCCUUCGGGUUGUAAACCUCUUUUAGCAGGGAAGAAGCGAAAGUGACGGUACCUGCAGAAAAAGCACCGGCUAACUACGUGCCAGCCGCCGCAGUAA
RNAcentral lists this ribosomal RNA (484 nucleotides) under uncultured bacterium. RNAcentral's name for it is "partial 16S ribosomal RNA". It matches the Rfam family "Bacterial small subunit ribosomal RNA", at positions 28 to 523 of the family's 1533-position model. The record is from RNAcentral.